GAUGAACGCUAGCUACAGGCUUAACACAUGCAAGUCGAGGGGUAACAAGAGGAAAGCUUGCUUUUCUUGUUGACGACCGGCGCACGGGUGAGUAACGCGUAUCCAACCUGCCUAUAACUAGGGAAUAACCUUGCGAAAGUAAGACUAAUACCCUAUGAUUUCCUUUGAUGACAUCAGAUUAGGAAUAAAGAUUUAUCGGUUGUGGAUGGGGAUGCGUCUGAUUAGCUUGUUGGCGGGGUAACGGCCCACCAAGGCAACGAUCAGUAGGGGUUCUGAGAGGAAGGUCCCCCACAUUGGAACUGAGACACGGUCCAAACUCCUACGGGAGGCAGCAGUGAGGAAUAUUGGUCAAUGGGCGGAAGCCUGAACCAGCCAAGUAGCGUGCAGGAUGACGGCCCUAUGGGUUGUAAACUGCUUUUAUACAGGAAUAAAGUUAGCCACGUGUGGUUAUUUGUAGGUACUGUAUGAAUAAAGACCGGCUAAUUCCGUGCCAGCCGCCGCCGUAA
RNAcentral lists this ribosomal RNA (506 nucleotides) under uncultured bacterium. Its description in RNAcentral is "partial 16S ribosomal RNA". It matches the Rfam family "Bacterial small subunit ribosomal RNA", at positions 28 to 523 of the family's 1533-position model. The record is from RNAcentral.